Molecule: unclassified non-coding RNA, 2684 nt
Filed under: Hevea brasiliensis (rubber tree)
Lineage: Eukaryota; Viridiplantae; Streptophyta; Magnoliopsida; Malpighiales; Euphorbiaceae
Source: RNAcentral
CCGGAUCCUUUAGCUCUUGAGAGUUGGGACGGCAGUGCAUGGCUCCCCGCUCCAGCUCGACCUGAUUAUUAAAGAAAAAGAGAAAAGAAAAACACCUUGCUUCGCCUUUAUAAACUAAAACACAUUUUUCGCUUUUCCUUCUUUCUUUUGAGCGCUUCUUCACCCCCUUUCUCUAUUCUCUUCUCUCUCCUCUCCUUUCCUCUCCUCUGUGGACAAACGCGUAACAAGCAAAGAAGCAAAGAGAUAGGGGAUUGUACAUAACUAGUCAUGGAUGAGUAUUCUGAUAAAAAAGAUGGUGAUGGGCUGGUUGUCUCUAGAAGGGGAUCUACCCUUGUUUUGAGAGAUACUGCUAAUAAUAAAGACCGAAAUGCUCAAUUUUGCAACCGAAUUGGGUGUAGUGGGAGACUAAACUCUGCAAAAGGAGCUCAAAUCAGUUAUUCGGAGAAACCCAAAUCUUCAAGGCAAUCAUUCCGGCCUCUCUCAAAUGGUAAGGAAAUAAUUGGAAGUUCUUCUAGGACUUCGUCUGCAACCAGCAAUCCUAGGAAAUCUGCUCCAGGACCUUGGAAAAAGCCGACUUCUCAGCCAGAAAAAGAUCCAUCUGAGACUGGUAGUUUUCAAGAUGAUUCUGAACUGCUGAAACUUGUAACUCCUCCUGGAAAGAUCAAUCAAAGUCUUGGCUCUGAAUCUGAUGAUACUGGUCCCAGUGAGAACACGUCAAUUGAAGUUGGAAGCUCUAGUAUACCAAGCACAAUAUCUCGUAGAAGUUUUCAUCAGAAAUCAGGAAUAGGUAAACCAGAUACCCGAAUAGGCUCACCGCUUUUAUUGGUAUCUAAAAGCACAAGCCAAGGGACACGUGCUAGUCCACACAGGAAUGGUCUAAGAAACCUUAGAUGCAGUUCAAUAUCAGAUGUUGUCCCUACAGGAUCUUCAACAUCAGAUUCAAAUCUCAUUAGACGAAAAGACACAAUUAAGAAGAGAAUUUCUGAUGGAGAAAGUAGUUCCUCUGCUAAAGGGAAGAAAAUAAGUGGGUCAUCAUUGGAAGGGCGGAAUUUUAGUUCUAGCUCUGGCAUCUCAAUUUCUGAUUCAAGAAGAACCAGAAGUGGGCCUUCCAACUGGGACAAUGGUCCUGCAUCAGUUAGGACUCGAACAUCACUAGGAUACACUAGGACAAGGGUUGCUGAUCAAGAAAGUGGGAAUAAUCUAUCACCAAAUGAACCCCAUGUAAUCCCACGAAUGUCUCAGCCUAUUUUGCCAGUUGGUUCAAAUUCUCCUACUACAUCUCAUCAAUUCUCUAUGGAAUCGUCCCUAAAUCGCUCAAGGUCUUAUGGUCUGCCUAUUAGUAGCCAUGAGAGUUUUCGGGGGAUUAGGCCAUCCAGUCCUGCUGAAGUUGGCAACAUCCGAUCUUCAACGAGUGGGGAGAGCUUCCGGCACUACAAUAUGGAUGGAAUUGCUGAGGUAAUUAGUCUAUAUGGUAUUGCACCAUUUUCUUUCCAUCCCCAUGAUAACAUGAAUUAAAUUUCUCUUCUGAACUUGGAGAGAGAGGGGGUAAUGAUUAAUCAUAUUUGCAGGUGUUAUUGGCACUUGAGAGGAUUGACCAAGAUGAAGAGCUAACAUAUGAGCAAUUACUUGUUCUGGAGACUAGUUUGUUCCUUAAUGGGCUGAAUUUCUAUGAUCAGCAUAGAGACAUGAGAUUGGAUAUUGAUAAUAUGUCAUACGAGGAAUUAUUAGCUCUAGAAGAAAGGAUGGGUACUGUGAGCACAGCACUAACUGAGGAAGCAUUGUCAGAAUGCCUUGAGACUAGCAUCUAUCAGUCAGCAUCUCUGGAGGAUGCUAAUUUGCACCUUUGUGGGGAAAAUGCUGAUGUCAGAUGCAGUAUCUGUCAGGUCCCUUUUUUAAUCGUCAAAAGAAGUUUCAUUUAUUUUUGAUCUUCAAUGUCCCUUUUAUUUGAUUUAGGUUUUGUUAAAAUCUAUUUACAGUUAAAACUCAAGCAUUAACAUGGUUAUAUAGAAGCAAUCUAGCUAAAGCAAACCAAAUAAUAUAGAUGUAAAAUCAAAUCUAACUGAACCAAUCCCAAUCUUGUUUUAACUAAAAUGUGCUUGGAUUAAUUUGAACUAGUUUAACAUCUGAUCAAGUUUGGGUUCUGCAUAGAUGGAUAUUUGUAAAUGGCUUUGUGAAAAGUUGAUUUUGUUGCAACCAACCCAGAUUGCGUUUGAGCAUGGAAAAAAUGUGUUCUUAGCAAACUUGACUGAACUCAUCAUUUAUCACUUUAUGUGUCUUAUUGCAGGAGGAGUAUGCUGUUGGAGAUGAAGUGGGUAGAUUGCAAUGUGAGCAUAGAUAUCAUGUGGCCUGCAUACAUCAAUGGUUGAGGCUGAAGAACUGGUGCCCCACUUGCAAGGCAUCUGCAGCACCCUCAUCAUCACCGCAAUCACUUUCAUCAGUCCAUGAAUAAAAUGGAUGUUUGAGACUGACUUUUCAUUUUGUACAAAUUAAGUACGUCUCCUGCAUCCUUUUUUUUUUUCUUCAUAUAUUUUUUAUGAAAAAUGGAGAUCAGUUUCUUUCAUGUACAUACCAAUUCUCUUUUAUGUCAAUAGACUAAUAAACUCGGGCAACAUUGCCAUUACAAUGAUAACUUGUUUUCAUCUAUAAAACAGAAGCUGUGAAUGAAAUUGCUCACAAAGUUGCUG